This 532-nucleotide ribosomal RNA is filed under the name uncultured fungus. Its description in RNAcentral is "SSU rRNA". It matches the Rfam family "Eukaryotic small subunit ribosomal RNA", at positions 109 to 644 of the family's 1831-position model. Lineage: Eukaryota; Fungi. The record is from RNAcentral.
GUUAUCGUUUAUCUGAUAGUACCUUACUACUUGGAUAACCGUGGUAAUUCUAGAGCUAAUACAUGCUGAAAACCCCAACUUCGGGAGGGGUGUAUUUAUUAGAUAAAAAACCAACGCCCUUCGGGGCUUCUUGGUGAUUCAUGAUAACUUCACGGAUCGCAUGGCCUUGCGCCGGCGACGGUUCAUUCAAAUUUCUGCCCUAUCAACUUUCGAUGGUAAGGUAUUGGCUUACCAUGGUUUCAACGGGUAACGGGGAAUUAGGGUUCGAUUCCGGAGAGGGAGCCUGAGAAACGGCUACCACAUCCAAGGAAGGCAGCAGGCGCGCAAAUUACCCAAUCCCGACACGGGGAGGUAGUGACAAUAAAUACUGAUACAGGGCUCUUUUGGGUCUUGUAAUUGGAAUGAGUACAAUUUAAACCUCUUAACGAGGAACAAUUGGAGGGCAAGUCUGGUGCCAGCAGCCGCGGUAAUUCCAGCUCCAAUAGCGUAUAUUAAAGUUGUUGCAGUUAAAAAGCUCGUAGUUGAAACUUGG